GUGGAGUCAUGAAAGGAGAGAAGGUUAGCACUACCCUUGACAAGAAUGGAAGAGGCUCUCGGGCCUUACAACACACAUAAGGUUAAGGCAUUGCCACCUACUUUGUGGCAUCUAACCACAGUUUUGA
This is a small nuclear RNA of Loxodonta africana (African savanna elephant), 127 nucleotides long. Lineage: Eukaryota; Metazoa; Chordata; Mammalia; Proboscidea; Elephantidae. The record is from Ensembl.